UGGCGAACGGGUGAGUAAUGCAUCGGAACGUGCCCAGUCGUGGGGGAUAACUGCUCGAAAGAGCAGCUAAUACCGCAUACGACCUGAGGGUGAAAGCGGGGGACCGUAAGGCCUCGCGCGAUUGGAGCGGCCGAUGUCAGAUUAGCUAGUUGGUGGGGUAAAGGCCUACCAAGGCAACGAUCUGUAGUUGGUCUGAGAGGACGACCAGCCACACUGGGACUGAGACACGGCCCAGACUCCUACGGGAGGCAGCAGUGGGGAAUUUUGGACAAUGGGCGCAAGCCUGAUCCAGCAAUGCCGCGUGCAGGAAGAAGGCCUUCGGGUUGUAAACUGCUUUUGUCAGGGAAGAAAUCUUCUGGGCUAAUACCCCGGGAGGAUGACGGUACCUGAAGAAUAAGCACCGGCUAACUACGUGCCAGCAGCCGCGGUAAUACGUAGGGUGCGAGCGUUAAUCGGAAUUACUG
RNAcentral lists this ribosomal RNA (464 nucleotides) under uncultured bacterium. Its description in RNAcentral is "bacterial SSU rRNA". It matches the Rfam family "Bacterial small subunit ribosomal RNA", at positions 96 to 556 of the family's 1533-position model. The record is from RNAcentral.